RNAcentral lists this ribosomal RNA (550 nucleotides) under Hylarana eschatia. RNAcentral's name for it is "partial 16S ribosomal RNA". It matches the Rfam family "Bacterial large subunit ribosomal RNA", at positions 1817 to 2597 of the family's 2925-position model. Lineage: Eukaryota; Metazoa; Chordata; Amphibia; Anura; Ranidae. The record is from RNAcentral.
CGCCUCUUGAUAAACAUAAGAGGUCCAGCCUGCCCAGUGACAAUGUUCAACGGCCGCGGUACCCUAACCGUGCAAAGGUAGCAUAAUCACUUGUUCUUUAAAUGAGGACUUGUAUCAAUGGCAUCACGAGGGUUGUACUGUCUCCUUUUUCCAAUCAGUGAAACUGAUCUCCCCGUGAAGAAGCUGGGAUUUUAAUAUAAGACGAGAAGACCCCAUGGAGCUUUAAAUUGCGUACUUACUUUAUGUAAAAACACCAAUAAAACCUAAAAAACUUAAGUACAAUUUUAGGUUGGGGCGACCACGGAGUAUAAUAUAACCUCCGCAACAAACAGGCCACACCUUUAUCUACGAGCCACACCUCUAAGAAUUAACAUAUUAAUGUUUAAUGACCCGAAUAUUCGAUCAAUGAACCAAGUUACCCUGGGGAUAACAGCGCAAUCUAUUUCAAGAGUCCUUAUCGACAAGUAGGUUUACGACCUCGAUGUUGGAUCAGGGUAUCCAAGUGGUGCAGCCGCUACUAACGGUUCGUUUGUUCAACGACUAAAACCCU